GCAUGGUGGGAGGCCAGAGAAGGCACAAACCAGUCAAGCUGGGGAGGUGUGCCCUCAAAUGUUGAUGGGUGUGAAUGCAGCCUGACUGAUACUUGCAAGGACCGAAACAACGUGUGUAACUGUGACUCGAAUCGUAAUGAGUGGAACACAGAUGGUGGACUUCUGACAGACAAGACGUUGCUCCCUGUGAUGCGAUUGAGGUUCGGCGACACUGGCAAGGGUGCAGAGAAGGGAAUUCACUACCUUGGUCCUCUUAUGUGCUUUGAUGAUGGUGACAGUGUUGCAUUUACGGCUCCACCACUAUGUCGUGAACAAAGUAAUCUGGAUUUAGCCGAUAAUUCCAAAGCAAAAAGUAAGUUGCUUCCAAUCGAUGACUGUAUGAUCUAACAUUUAUUACUUGUUCGUGAGUUUUCGUUCUUAUGUUUGGCUAUAUGAUUAAUCCUUAUGUUGACUUAUUUUGUGCACUAUUAUUAUAUUUAGUUUUGAACUUCAG
Long non-coding RNA from Priapulus caudatus, 493 nucleotides. RefSeq lists it as uncharacterized. NCBI's taxonomy places the organism in Eukaryota, Metazoa, Priapulida, Priapulimorpha, Priapulimorphida, Priapulidae. The transcript has 3 exons. The record is from RefSeq and is a predicted model, not a curated record.